RNAcentral lists this small RNA (653 nucleotides) under Pongo abelii (Sumatran orangutan). Its description in RNAcentral is "retained intron". The record is from RNAcentral. Lineage: Eukaryota; Metazoa; Chordata; Mammalia; Primates; Hominidae.
ACUCUGAGGCAUUACACUACACGGUGGAAGGCUGAUUCCUAUUCUGUCGUCUUGAUUGCAAAUAUACUGCCAGUAGUAUGUCUGGGAACAAAGAGCAGCCAGAAAACAAUCUAUUUUUAUCACUUGGUUCUACUUUUAAGUUGCUAAACCUUUUGAACUCAUGCAAUUUAAAGAUGAACCAAACACUAAGAAUAGCCCAGGACUCUGCAAAGCCAAGUACCAGGGAUUCCUUUGUCCCUUAGUUAAGCCUAUAGGCCACUUGGAAAGCUCUUUCAGAAAUCCCAGUAGUUAACAAUAAUUUGCAUGUAACUUAUCUUAACCACAGAAAAUGGUUAUUCGUCUGUAACCUCUAAAGAGGCAUUUUUCGUUUGCUGACCUGUGGUGAGGCGAUGUGUCUACUGUAUUUAAACAUAUUUUGCAGGUUGGUCUCCCUGGACUGAAGAGAGGGAGAAUAGAAGCCCAAGACUAAGAUUCUCAAAAUGGUUUAUUACCCAGAACUCUCUGUCUGGGUCAGUCAAGAACCAUUUCCAAACAAGGACAUGGAGGGAAGGCUUCCUAAGGGAAGACUUCCUGUCCCAAAGGAAGUGAACCGCAAGAAGAACGAUGAGACAAACGCUGCCUCCCUGACUCCACUGGGCAGCAGUGAACUCCGC